CCUACGGGUGGCAGCAGUGGGGAAUAUUGGACAAUGGGGGAAACCCUGAUCCAGCGACGCCGCGUGAGUGAAGAAGUAUUUCGGUACGUAAAGCUCUAUCAGCAGGAAAGAAAAUGACGGUACCUGACUAAGAAGCCCCGGCUAACUACGUGCCAGCAGCCGCGGUACUACGUAGGGGGCAAGCUUUAUCCGGAUUUACUGGGUGUAACGGGAGCGUAGACGGCAGCGCAAGUCUGGAGUGAAAUGCCGGGGCCCAACCCCGGAACUGCUCUGGAUACUGUGAAGCUGGAGUGCAGGAGAGGCAAUCGGAAUUCCGUGUGUAGCGGUGAAAUGCGUAGAUAUACGGAGGAACACCAGUGGCGAAGGCGGAUUGCUGGACAGUAACUGACGCUGAGGCGCGAAAGCGUGGGGAGCAAACAGGAUUAGAUACCCCUGUAGUC
This 440-nucleotide ribosomal RNA is filed under the name uncultured bacterium. RNAcentral's name for it is "partial 16S ribosomal RNA". It matches the Rfam family "Bacterial small subunit ribosomal RNA", at positions 338 to 795 of the family's 1533-position model. The record is from RNAcentral.